CCUCUCUCCACAUAUACAGCCAGGUUAAAACCACCUGUCUCCUCUCUCCACAUAUACAGCCAGGUUAAAACCACCGGUCUCCUCUCUCCACAUAUACAGCCAGGUUAAAACCACCUGUCUCCUCUCUCCACAUAUACAGCCAGGUUAAAACCACCUGUCUCCUCUCUCCACAUAUACAGCCAGGUUUAAACCACCGGUCUCCACUCUCCACAUAUACAGCCAGGUUAAAACCUCCUGUCUCCUCUCUCCACUUAUACAGCCAGGUUAAAACCACCUGUCUCCUCUCUCCACAUAUACAGCCAGGUUAAAACCACCUGUCUCCUCUCUCCACAUAUACAGCCAGGUUAA
Molecule: long non-coding RNA, 348 nt
Organism: Oncorhynchus tshawytscha (Chinook salmon)
Lineage: Eukaryota; Metazoa; Chordata; Actinopteri; Salmoniformes; Salmonidae
Source: Ensembl